CCUUCGAUAGCUCAGUUGGUAGAGCGGAGGACUGUAGAGCAAUCAACAUUGAUAUCCUUAGGUCGCUGGUUCGAAUCCGGCUCGAAGGA
This 89-nucleotide transfer RNA is filed under the name Danionella translucida. It matches the Rfam family "tRNA". From Rfam's summary of the family: Transfer RNA (tRNA) molecules are approximately 80 nucleotides in length. Their secondary structure includes four short double-helical elements and three loops (D, anti-codon, and T loops). Further hydrogen bonds mediate the characteristic L-shaped molecular structure. tRNAs have two regions of fundamental functional importance: the anti-codon, which is responsible for specific mRNA codon recognition, and the 3' end, to which the tRNAs corresponding amino acid is attached (by aminoacyl-tRNA synthetases). tRNAs cope with the degeneracy of the genetic code in two manners: having more than one tRNA (with a specific anti-codon) for a particular amino acid; and 'wobble' base-pairing, i.e. permitting non-standard base-pairing at the 3rd anti-codon position. The record is from Rfam by way of RNAcentral. Lineage: Eukaryota; Metazoa; Chordata; Actinopteri; Cypriniformes; Danionidae. RNAcentral also lists the same sequence under 1 other name.